RNAcentral lists this ribosomal RNA (1440 nucleotides) under Triticum aestivum (bread wheat). RNAcentral's name for it is "partial small subunit ribosomal RNA". Lineage: Eukaryota; Viridiplantae; Streptophyta; Magnoliopsida; Poales; Poaceae. The record is from RNAcentral.
AUGGCGACGGCGGAGGAAGGCGAGGGAGGAGAGGUACAACCACCAGGAUUAGGGAGGGGGAGGUGUCCAAGAUUCCGGCGAUCUGAGGCGACCCGCGGCAUGGCCGGAGGCGGCGGCGUUGGGGGGAAGGAGGAUGGCGGCACGGAGCCCCUACUCCUGUCCGUCCUCGCUCUCCCCGCAACGGCGCUCCCCGCCGUCGUCUCCCGCCUGGAGGCCGCCGUCCCGCGGAAGGCGCGCAGCUACCUCCCCCGCAACGUCCCGUCGGCCUGGUGGUCACUCAGGAUCCCCUUCAUCCAGCCGCUGCCGCCGGCUGGGGACCCGGCAAACGAAGAGGAGGGGAGAAGGUUCCCCCGCACCCAGCGCGUGCAGGUGGCUCCGUCUCUCGAUCCAGGCACGGCCGAUAAGCCGCCCAAGAGAUUGAAGAGGUGCCUGCACUGCAAGGCGGUGGAGACGCCGCAGCGGAGGUCAGGGCCGAUGGGGCGGGGUACCCUCUGCAACGCCUGCGGAGUCUGGUACAGUAAGAACGGGACACUGCCGGAGCACCGUCCGGUGGCAAGCCCAAUCGUCGAUUCGCCGCUGGAGAGCCCGAUCUGGGAGCCCGAGGUGCCUGGGGCCAUCUACCUGGUCAGAAAGUCGGCCACGGAGAGGAUGCCUCCCAGGACAGAAGCUGCGCCAGCGCCACGGCCGGGGACGAGCUGCUUGCACUGCGGGUCCUCGGAUCCACCUUUGUGGAUAGAAGGAUUGAUGGGGCGGAGGGAGGUCUGCACCGCCUGCGGCAUGCGGUACAAGAAGGGGAGGUUGCUGCCGGAGUGCCGUCCAGCAGAGUGCUCAGUGACGGAUUCCCAGCAGGAGAGCCCAGUCAUCAACUCCCCGCCAGAGAGUCCCAUCUGGGAGCCUGAGGCGCCUCCGUCCGUGCACCUGCCAAGAAAGCCUUCAAAGAAGAAGAAGAGGAGGCGGUCUAGAAGCGAAGCCCCUUCGGCGCCAUGGCCGGCGAAUAAGGGGAAGAGGUGCCAGCACUGUGGGUCGUCAGAGACGCCACAGUGGAGGGAGGGGCCAAAGGGGCGAGCCACGCUGUGCAACGCGUGCGGCGUGCGGUACAGGCAGGGAAGGCUACUGCCGGAGUACCGGCCCGUGGCGAGCCCUACAUUUGUGCCAACAAAGCAUGCCAAUACCCACCGCAAGGUGCUCCAGUUGCAUCGAACCAGGCAAAGCAACGACGAGCAUCCAUCACCGUUGCCUGCCGACAGCGUCACCAACCUGCCCCCAAUCCGCAACGAGCUCCCGACCACCAGCACGGCAGGUCUCGCCAGUGAGGACCCGACCGAUGCACCGGGCUACACCGACAACCCAAUCAAUGUGCCGAGCUCACUGGACUCGCUGCUGCUCGACGGGCCGUCGGCGCCGCUCAUCGUAGAGAGUGAAGAUUUUGCGAUUAGCUAG